Molecule: ribosomal RNA, 710 nt
Filed under: uncultured bacterium
Lineage: Bacteria
Description: bacterial SSU rRNA
Rfam family: Bacterial small subunit ribosomal RNA
Source: RNAcentral
AGCGGCGGACGGGUGAGUAACGCGUGGGUAACCUGCCCUGUACACACGGAUAACAUACCGAAAGGUAUGCUAAUACGAGAUAAUAUACUUUUAUCGCAUGGUAGAAGUAUCAAAGCUUUUGCGGUACAGGAUGGACCCGCGUCUGAUUAGCUAGUUGGUAAGGUAACGGCUUACCAAGGCGACGAUCAGUAGCCGACCUGAGAGGGUGAUCGGCCACAUUGGAACUGAGACACGGUCCAAACUCCUACGGGAGGCAGCAGUGGGGAAUAUUGCACAAUGGGCGAAAGCCUGAUGCAGCAACGCCGCGUGAGCGAUGAAGGCCUUCGGGUCGUAAAGCUCUGUCCUCAAGGAAGAUAAUGACGGUACUUGAGGAGGAAGCCCCGGCUAACUACGUGCCAGCAGCCGCGGUAAUACGUAGGGGGCUAGCGUUAUCCGGAAUUACUGGGCGUAAAGGGUGCGUAGGUGGUUUCUUAAGUCAGAGGUGAAAGGCUACGGCUCAACCGUAGUAAGCCUUUGAAACUGGGAAACUUGAGUGCAGGAGAGGAGAGUGGAAUUCCUAGUGUAGCGGUGAAAUGCGUAGAUAUUAGGAGGAACACCGGUUGCGAAGGCGGCUCUCUGGACUGUAACUGACACUGAGGCACGAAAGCGUGGGGAGCAAACAGGAUUAGAUACCCUGGUAGUCCACGCCGUAAACGAUGAGUACUAGCUGU